UACGUAGGGGGCAAGCGUUAUCCGGAUUUACUGGGUGUAAAGGGAGCGUAGACGGGCGUGCAAGUCUGAAGUGAAAGCCCGGGGCUCAACCCCGGAACUGCUUUGGAAACUGUAUGUCUAGAGUGCAGGAGAGGUAAGUGGAAUUCCUAGUGUAGCGGUGAAAUGCGUAGAUAUUAGGAGGAACACCAGUGGCGAAGGCGGCUUACUGGACUGUAACUGACGUUGAGGCUCGAAGGCGUGGGGAG
This 245-nucleotide ribosomal RNA is filed under the name uncultured Hungatella sp. RNAcentral describes it as "partial 16S ribosomal RNA". It matches the Rfam family "Bacterial small subunit ribosomal RNA", at positions 524 to 768 of the family's 1533-position model. The record is from RNAcentral. Lineage: Bacteria; Bacillati; Bacillota; Clostridia; Lachnospirales; Lachnospiraceae.